RNAcentral lists this ribosomal RNA (464 nucleotides) under uncultured bacterium. Its description in RNAcentral is "partial 16S ribosomal RNA". It matches the Rfam family "Bacterial small subunit ribosomal RNA", at positions 339 to 795 of the family's 1533-position model. The record is from RNAcentral.
CUACGGGGUGCUGCAGUGGGGAAUAUUGCACAAUGGGCGCAAGCCUGAUGCAGCCAUGCCGCGUGUAUGAAGAAGGCCUUCGGGUUGUAAAGUACUUUCAGCGGGGAGGAAGGGAGUAAAGUUAAUACCUUUGCUCAUUGACGUUACCCGCAGAAGAAGCACCGGCUAACUCCGUGCCAGCAGCCGCGGUAAUACGGAGGGUGCAAGCGUUGAUCGGAAUUACUGGGCGUAAAGCGCACGCAGGCGGUUUGUUAAGUCAGAUGUGAAAUCCCCGGGCUCAACCUGGGAACUGCAUCUGAUACUGGCAAGCUUGAUUCUCGUAGAGGGGGGUAGAAUUCCAGGUGUAGCGGUGAAAUGCGUAGAGAUCUGGAGGAAUACCGGUGGCGAAGGCGGCCCCCUGGACGAAGACUGACGCUCAGGUGCGAAAGCGUGGGGAGCAAACAGGAUUAGAUACCCCCGUAGUC